RNAcentral lists this ribosomal RNA (298 nucleotides) under uncultured bacterium. RNAcentral describes it as "partial 16S ribosomal RNA". It matches the Rfam family "Bacterial small subunit ribosomal RNA", at positions 333 to 628 of the family's 1533-position model. The record is from RNAcentral.
GUGUGCCUACGGGAGGCAGCAGUGAGGAAUAUUGGUUAAUGGGCGGAAGCCUGAACCAGCCAAGUCGCGUGAGGGAAUAAGGCCCUACGGGUCGUAAACCUCUUUUGCCGGGGAGCAAGGGCCGGGACGAGUCCCGGUCCGGAGAGUACCCGGAGAAAAAGCAUCGGCUAACUCCGUGCCAGCAGCCGCGGUAAUACGGUGGAUGCGAGCGUUAUCCGGAUUUAUUGGGUUUAAAGGGUGCGUAGGCGGGCUUUUAAGUCAGCGGUAAAAAUUCGGGGCUCAACCCCGUCCGGCCGUU